Molecule: long non-coding RNA, 1535 nt
Organism: Scatophagus argus
Lineage: Eukaryota; Metazoa; Chordata; Actinopteri; Scatophagidae
Exons: 2
Source: RefSeq, a predicted model, not a curated record
UCUGUCAGAAGGGGAUUUCGCAUGACUCACACGCAAGUGUAUAAAAGAGAUGCAAACCCACAUGUUGGUUUACUGUUCAAUGGGAGAUAGAAAGGCAAAUACAGGAGGAGAGAAGAAAAGAAAGAAGAAAGACAAACACUGGUUGCUGGAAGAGGAAGUUUUUUGGAGUACAUGUAAUCCAGGACAUCCUCAACUGCAUGAGCAGCAACACUGAGGUAAGCAUGUGGCAUCCAUCUACCAUCAAGUUUUGUCCCAGGUUGAGGUUAAUGCUAAUCGUGAUAGGGGUUGUUCAUUAGCAGACACCUAACAUGUUAGCAUUAGCUUCACCUUGGGAGGGGUCACCAACGCUGAAGUCAUCAGGCAACUGAGGAAUACGAUGCAGCAACGCACACAGUGAAAAGUGGACUAACAUUGGCUAUCAUGGACUUUCCUGCUCUAACUGAUGUCAGAUCAGAUGUCAAGGUGCUGCAGUUGUGUUGCACUUGAGCAAAUGUGAAAGACCAUGUGUUUUAACCUGUAAACCCACAUAGGUAUAGUUGUCACUUUGGCUCAUUGAACUUCUUCAUAGGCAUGUGCAGAGUAAGACCUUUUUGAUUUGGGGUAUAGUCCAUAUUCAAGUUAAAUCAUAGCCAUGAUCAACAUAAGCCUGGUUACUCAGAACAAACAGAAUAAGCUGUCUGGCUUUGAACCAAUUCAUACUUGUAUAUGUAUCAAUUAUAUCAUCCUAUGAAGGAACAUUUAGUAUUCUAUAUGAAAGAAGUGUGGUAUAUGUGGUACAAAUGCUGUAUUUUGACAAUGAAAGCAGUUGGCACAACAAGAUAUUGUCCACCAUCCAACUGCUGUGAGUAAUUUUUUAUUUUUCAGAAAAACUGAAGGAUUGACUGUUGUAAAUAUUAGGGCAGUUCUCAUAUUACUUAAGCUAAAUAAAUUGUUGAAAACCAUAAAUACAUUACCAAAGAGUUGAAAACAAACUCAUAACUCAUGAAAAGCUGAAUAGAAAUUGUUAAAAUGAAUGAAUGGCGAAUAAAUGGUUGAUUAAGAUGAUGUAAUAAUCUGCCUUUUCAUGUGCUUAAUUUUGCUGUUGUGAACAUAUUGAAAAAGGGGGGCAGCCGUGGCCUAAAGGGGGGCAGCCGUGGUCUAAAGGGGGGCAGCCAUGGCCUAGAGGUUGGAGAAGCGGCUUAUGAUCGGAGAGUCACCGGUUCGAUUCCCCCACUGGAUGGGCAGGAAAGAUCUCCCUCCAUUAGUUGGUUGAUGUGCCCUUGAGCAAGGCACUUAACCCCCCAAUAUGCUCCCCAGAUGCUUGAUGCUGCCCACUGCUCCUGUGUGUGUUUCACUGCAUGUAAUUUGCCGGGUGUUGCAUGUCUGUGUUCAACUGAGGAUGGGUCAAAUGCAGAAGACGAAUUCAGUGUGUGUAUGUAAAAAUAUAUAUACUGUCGAUAAAGCUGAUUCUUAUAUUAGCCACACCAGAGGUAACUAUCUAAAAUUUCAGCGAUUAGAGACAAAGAGGGGAAAAAAAAGAAAAAAAAAAAAAAUCU